This 522-nucleotide ribosomal RNA is filed under the name uncultured Glomeraceae. Its description in RNAcentral is "SSU rRNA". It matches the Rfam family "Eukaryotic small subunit ribosomal RNA", at positions 569 to 1092 of the family's 1831-position model. The record is from RNAcentral. Lineage: Eukaryota; Fungi; Glomeromycota; Glomeromycetes; Glomerales; Glomeraceae.
AGCAGCCGCGGUAAUUCCAGCUCCAAUAGCGUAUAUUAAAGUUGUUGCAGUUAAAAAGCUCGUAGUUGAAUUUCGGGAUCAAUUAAUUGGUCGUGCCUCUGGUACGUACUGGUUUUAUUGGUUUCUCCCUUCUGACGAACCAUGAUGUCAUUAAUUUGGUGUCGUGGAGAAUCAGGACUGUUACUUUGAAAAAAUUAGAGUGUUUAAAGCAAGCUAACGCUUGAAUACAUUAGCAUGGAAUAAUGAAAUAGGACGUUUGAUCCUAUUUUGUUGGUUUCUAGGAUUGACGUAAUGAUUAAUAGGGAUAGUUGGGGGCAUUAGUAUUCAAUUGUCAGAGGUGAAAUUCUUGGAUUUAUUGAAGACUAACUACUGCGAAAGCAUUUGCCAAGGAUGUUUUCAUUAAUCAAGAACGAAAGUUAGGGGAUCGAAGACGAUCAGAUACCGUCGUAGUCUUAACCAUAAACUAUGCCGACUAGGGAUCGGAUGAUGUUAAUUUUUUAAUGACUCAUUCGGCGCCUUACG